UCCUGUAAAUACGGCGGUGAAGUUAGUUUCAGGUUGGAUAUAUUUUCCUGUAAAUACGGCGGUGAAGUUAGUUUCAGGUUGGAUAUAUUUUCCUGUAAAUACGGCAGUGAAGUUAGUUUUAGGUUGGAUAUAUUCUCCUGUAAAUACGGCGGUGAAGUUAGUUUCAGGUUGGAUAUAUUUUCCUGUAAAUACGGCGGUGAAGUUAGUUUCAGGUUGGAGAUAUUUUCCUGUAAAUACGGCGGUGAAGUUAGUUUUAGGUUGGAUAUAUUUUCCUGUAAAUACGGCGGUGAAGUUAGUUUCAGGUUGGAUAUAUUUUCCUGAAAAUACGGCGGUGAAGUUAGUUUCAGGUUGGAUAUAUUUUCCUGUAAAUACAGCGGUGAAGUUAGUUUUAGGUUGGAUAUUUUUUCCUGUAAAUACGGCGGUGAAGUUAGUUUCAGGUUGGAUAUAUUUUCCUGUAAAUACGGC
RNAcentral lists this long non-coding RNA (465 nucleotides) under Xyrichtys novacula (pearly razorfish). The record is from RNAcentral. Lineage: Eukaryota; Metazoa; Chordata; Actinopteri; Labriformes; Labridae.